UCCGGUAUGGUGUAACGGCUAACAUUGCCGCCUUUCAUACUCAAUGAAGCAUCGCGGCAGCUCGGGGUUCGAUUCCCCGUACCGGAA
Non-coding RNA from Tephrocybe sp. NHM501043, 87 nucleotides. The record is from the annotation of a GenBank genome assembly. Lineage: Eukaryota; Fungi; Basidiomycota; Agaricomycetes; Agaricales; Lyophyllaceae.